This 72-nucleotide transfer RNA is filed under the name Flavobacterium endoglycinae. Its description in RNAcentral is "Flavobacterium sp. BB8 tRNA-Ile". It matches the Rfam family "tRNA". Rfam says of the family: Transfer RNA (tRNA) molecules are approximately 80 nucleotides in length. Their secondary structure includes four short double-helical elements and three loops (D, anti-codon, and T loops). The record is from RNAcentral. Lineage: Bacteria; Pseudomonadati; Bacteroidota; Flavobacteriia; Flavobacteriales; Flavobacteriaceae.
AUGAGAAGAGAACGAUGGUCGUUCGUCCGCCUUAUAUGCGGGAGGCUGCAGGUUCGAUUCCUGUUUCUCAUU